GACGAACGCUGGCGGCGUGCUUAACACAUGCAAGUCGAACGAAGUGGCGGACGGGUGAGUAACGCGUAAUCAACCUGCCCUUCAGGGGGGGACAACAGUUGGAAACGACUGCUAAUACCGCAAACUGAAGGCGGGGGUUGCGUUGGAUUAGCUAGUUGGUGGGGUAACGGCCCACCAAGGCGAAGUGCAGUAGCCGGUCUGAGAGGGUGAACGGACACAGUGGGAAUGGGGCAAGGCCCAGACCCCUAAGGGAGGCAGCAGUUGGGGAUCUUUGGAAAUUGGGGAAAGGCUGACGGAGGAAAGCCGCGUGAGUGAUGACGGCCUUCGGGUUGUAAAGCUCUGUUAAGCGGGACGCGGUACCGGAAUAGAAAGCCACGGCUAACUACGUGCCAGCAGCCGCGGUAAUUC
This 408-nucleotide ribosomal RNA is filed under the name uncultured bacterium. RNAcentral's name for it is "partial 16S ribosomal RNA". It matches the Rfam family "Bacterial small subunit ribosomal RNA", at positions 28 to 526 of the family's 1533-position model. The record is from RNAcentral.